ACUCCACGGGAGGCAGCAGUGGGGAAUUUUGGACAAUGGGCGCAAGCCUGAUCCAGCCAUGCCGCGUGAGUGAAGAAGGCCUUCGGGUUGUAAAGCUCUUUCAGCCGGGAAGAAAACGCAUGGGUCAAUACCCUGUGUGGAUGACGGUACCGGAAUAAGAAGCACCGGCUAACUACGUGCCAGCAGCCGCGGUAAUACGUAGGGUGCGAGCGUUAAUCGGAAUUACUGGGCGUAAAGCGUGCGCAGGCGGUUUUGUAAGACAGGCGUGAAAUCCCCGGGCUCAACCUGGGAACUGCGUUUGUGACUGCAAGGCUAGAGUAUGGCAGAGGGGGGUGGAAUUCCACGUGUAGCAGUGAAAUGCGUAGAGAUGUGGAGGAACACCGAUGGCGAAGGCAGCCCCCUGGGCCAAUACUGACGCUCAUGCACGAAAGCGUGGGUAGCAAACAGGAUUAGAUACCCUGGUAGUCCACGCCCUAAACGAUGUCAACUAGGUGUUGGGUGGGUAAAACCAUUUAGUACCGGAGCUAACGCGUGAAGUUGACCGCCUGGGGAGUACGGCCGCAAGGUUAAAACUUAAAUGAAUUGACGGA
Molecule: ribosomal RNA, 590 nt
Filed under: uncultured Dechloromonas sp.
Lineage: Bacteria; Pseudomonadati; Pseudomonadota; Betaproteobacteria; Rhodocyclales; Azonexaceae
Description: bacterial SSU rRNA
Rfam family: Bacterial small subunit ribosomal RNA
Source: RNAcentral